Molecule: long non-coding RNA, 521 nt
Filed under: Solanum tuberosum (potato)
Lineage: Eukaryota; Viridiplantae; Streptophyta; Magnoliopsida; Solanales; Solanaceae
Description: long non-coding RNA (STUB_LNC009328)
Source: RNAcentral
UCAGCAACAUGUCUUUUCUCUUUCUGAAUCAUCUUGUUUAAGCCAUCACAGUCAUUGCCAUGGUCAUCCUCAUCAGAAUCAUGUCUUCUACCUCUUUGUGAGGUCUUGUUUUUAGCAUCACGACCAUCAUCAUAUUUAUCCUCAGCAACAUGUCUUUUAUCUUUCUGAAUCAUCUUGUUCAUGACAUCACGAUCAUUGUUAUGGUCAUCCUCAUCAGAAUUUGUGAGGUCUUCUUUUUAGCAUCACGACCAUCAUCAUAUUUAUCCUCAGCAACAUGUCUUUUCUCUUUCUGAAUCAUCUUGUUUUUGACAUCACGGUCAUUGUCGUGGUCAUCCUCAAUAAAAUCAUGUCUUCUACCCUGUUGAAGCUUAAUGAUUUUUGCAUCACGGCCAUCAUUAUCACCCACAAAAUGUCUCAUAUGCAAUUUCACGUGUUUCUUCUCAUGAUCAGACUCUGAAUAAGAGUCAGAAUCAGAAUCAGAGGAUGAAUCGUCACUGUGAUGCCGCCUUCUAACCUUCUUG